UUGAAUGUCUUGCACCAAGGCAUCCAGCUACCAAGGCAAGAUCUCAAACACAGAACAUCUAUCUUAGAACACCAGUGUUUCCCUUCAUAGUCCACCCUUCCUACAAUAUUCUCGUAACAACAGAAAUCUCCCGUUAGUUUAUAGAGCAUGCAAUUUGCGCUCAAACUGAAAUAAGAACAACAUUUUGUCAGUUUUGUCAGUAACAUUUGGUUAAUUCGGCACCAACAAAAUCUCCUAUAUGAUUUGGCGAUUAAAGAAUAGUAACAAAUGAUAUAAAAUAACCAGUGACAUCAACUCUAACUACACAAUAUCCAGGGAAACAACAUGAAUCUCCAAUUGGUUCACAAAGUAUGCAACUUUUCUCUCAACUGAAAUGAGAACAACAUUUUGUCAGUGAUAUUUAGUUAAUGGAGCACCAACAAAUCUCCUAUUUCAUUUAGAAGAAUAAGAAUAAAUAAAGGAUAUAAAAUAACCAGUGGCACAUUUAACUCUAACUACAACUUGGCAAAGAAAUUACAUUAGUUGAUUAAUGAUUAUCUGUAGCUAAAUCCUAUAUUCAAUACACAAGACGAAGGAAUUCAUAUAUUAGAAAUCAUAUGCACACCAGUCAAUCAAUUAAACAGCAAGAAUCACAAAUAAAAAGAAAUUACAUUGGCAGUUCAUAUCAGUCUCCUACCUUGAAAGUGAUACCUUGAAAUCAUAUGCACACCAGUCAAUCAAUUAAACAGUAGGAAAUGCGGCUUGCCGCACCCGGCAGCGCCGCUGCCGGGUACAAUUAUAUCCAAUUGGGUAAUACAGUCAUAGGAGCAUUUUUUUUACAGAACAGUCAUAGGAGCAUUGUAAAUAUAAAAAAAAGCAAUGGUAUUAGUUCAGUACAGUGUCAUACUGCAAAUUAUUAUCUGUUCAUAAGAUAUGAAAUUUAAGAUGGGUUUUAGACUGCAUAACAUAUUGUAUAGAAUAUAUUGACAAAUAUGAUGAACCGUUGCGACAUAAGCAUCCUUAGAAAGAGAAUUCUGAUUUAUAACAUUGGUACUCACAUGAAAAUUUAUCUAAAAAUGAGCAGAUAGUCGAAGAAGAAGAACAGUACAAAGGAUACAUUGAGCUUAUAGAAGCAUAGCAAAGCAGGCUAUGUAGACAUAACUCGACAUCAUCGAUAUAAUAGUUCAUAGUUCCUAGAUUCAGAUAUGGACUGGAUAGUUCUCCUUAUAGACAUCCCAUCUGGGUAGCCAAGGAUGACCAAGUUCAGUACAGGCCAUUUUGUCAAAGCAAAGCAAGCAGGGUACAUUUAGUCAAUAGAGCAGAUCGACGAUGGAUCUCAUUAAGUAGGUAACAAUAGUUUAGCUAUUACAAGCAAGACAGAGCUCCUCACAUGCCCCUCUUGUUAUUUAUCAAUGAUGCUUAAUUAGUACUGGAUCAUCUCUGUCUGACCUAAGCCGCGACCAAGCCAUAUCAUUGCAACCCGUAGAAAAAGGAAGCUACAACUGUGUGAACCAAAUAUAAAUGGGGACAAUCCUGCUCUCCAUCAUGCUAAAUGGGGACUUCUCUAGCACUCACGCUUACUAUUGGUCACGCUUGUGUAUUCAGAUGCCACUCAAGAUAUAACCACCAAACGAAUUCAUUUGCAUGUGUGGGUGGGUACAUGAUGGAUGGACAUGCAUCCAGAGAAAAGAAAGGGGCUUGAAAAAAAGAAAUCACAACUUUUUACAUGCAAGAGUAGUAAGCACUAAUCGCAUAUCCUUUGUUGUAUUUCAAGCCUAAUAGGAACAGGUGAUAGACGAUCGACCUUGUGUAUCAAACAAACAUGUGAUAGAAAUCACAACUUGUAGUGCUGAAGAUCCUGCGCUGCCUGCGACGUGCACGGUCGCCAUGGCCGCGAGCUAGGGUUCCGGGCGCGAGGAGGGAGGGACGGACGGACAACAGCUCGAUUGCCAUGGUGUUUCAUGAUAAGAAGGUCCAUCGGCUGAGUUACCUGCAAGCACAAGCACAUAAUUUGCUGCAUCACACACCAAGCUAUUUUGUAUAGCUGAAGACGGGUUUAUACAAAAUCAUGAAACUGGACCAAUAAAAAAAUUAUAUUUGCGGG
This 2083-nucleotide long non-coding RNA is filed under the name Triticum aestivum (bread wheat). Its description in RNAcentral is "long non-coding RNA (TAES_LNC001093)". Lineage: Eukaryota; Viridiplantae; Streptophyta; Magnoliopsida; Poales; Poaceae. The record is from RNAcentral.